This 497-nucleotide ribosomal RNA is filed under the name uncultured bacterium. RNAcentral's name for it is "partial 16S ribosomal RNA". It matches the Rfam family "Bacterial small subunit ribosomal RNA", at positions 28 to 507 of the family's 1533-position model. The record is from RNAcentral.
GAUGAACGCUGGCGGCGUGCCUAAUACAUGCAAGUCGAGCGAACAGAUAAGGAGCUUGCUCCUUUGACGUUAGCGGCGGACGGGUGAGUAACACGUGGGUAACCUACCUAUAAGACUGGAAUAACUCCGGGAAACCGGGUCUAAUGCCGGAUAACAUUUAGAACCGCAUGGUUCUAAAGUGAAAGAUGGUUUUGCUAUCACUUAUAGAUGGACCCGCGCCGUAUUAGCUAGUUGGUAAGGUAACGGCUUACCAAGGCAACGAUACGUAGCCGACCUGAGAGGGUGAUCAGCCACACUGGAACUGAGACACGGUCCAGACUCCUACGGGAGGCAGCAGUAGGGAAUCUUCCGCAAUGGGCGAAAGCCUGACGGAGCAACGCCGCGUGAGUGAUGAAGGUCUUCGGAUCGUAAAACUCUGUUAUUAGGGAAGAACAAAUGUGUAAGUAACUGUGCACGUCUUGACGGUACCUAAUCAGAAAGCCACGGCUAACUACGUG